RNAcentral lists this ribosomal RNA (253 nucleotides) under uncultured bacterium. RNAcentral's name for it is "partial 16S ribosomal RNA". It matches the Rfam family "Bacterial small subunit ribosomal RNA", at positions 524 to 776 of the family's 1533-position model. The record is from RNAcentral.
UACGUAGGGUGCAAGCGUUGUCCGGAAUUAUUGGGCGUAAAGAGCUCGUAGGCGGUUUGUCGCGUCUGCUGUGAAAACGCGAGGCUCAACCUCGCGCCUGCAGUGGGUACGGGCAGACUAGAGUGCGGUAGGGGAGAUUGGAAUUCCUGGUGUAGCGGUGGAAUGCGCAGAUAUCAGGAGGAACACCGGUGGCGAAGGCGGGUCGCUGGGCAGUAACUGACGCUGAGGAGCGAAAGCGUGGGGAGCGAACAGG